Molecule: long non-coding RNA, 628 nt
Organism: Alligator sinensis (Chinese alligator)
Lineage: Eukaryota; Metazoa; Chordata; Crocodylia; Alligatoridae
Exons: 3
Source: RefSeq, a predicted model, not a curated record
UGCUCCCUCUCUGGCCAGUAUGACCCAUUCAUCCCUGUAACUGAGCUAUUGCAACAACUAGUUUUGCUGGUGGUAGUCCAAUUCCUAGAAUAUCAUGCCACAUUUUGCCCUGGCAUAGAGUGAAUGAUCUUAAUCAAAACAAGUCAGCUUGAACUAAGUGCUCUGUUGGUAGGCUGCUGCAAGUCUGAUACGGAGUAAAAGCACUGGGAUUUUGCUACGCUAACAGGCAAACAAGACAUGAUUAAAAAAAAUAAAUGAUGGGUGACUGGGAAGAAUGUGGUCAAGAGGAAUACGGACAUGACUUGAGAGGAAGUUAUGAUGGCAGCAACCUAUUCAUUGGAAUAAAAAUGGCUUAAAACAAAGCAGGAGACAAGAUUUCUCAGAUGGAGUAGCUGUCAAGCUAUGGGAAGGUGAUUUACAGCAAUGCCUUAAGAAGCAGGCUGCAUUCAAAUGCAAGAAAGAACACUGGACAGAUAUUUGGCUGGGGUGAUAUGACCCCGACACCCGUUCCUGCCCGGGGCAGGCGGUCGGACCUGAUGAUCCGUUUAGGUCCCUUCCGACCCUAAGCAUUAUGGUACUAUGAUACUGUGAACAUUUGAACUCGUUUUCUUUUCUCCACAUCCUGAGG